CAAGGAGAAGAGAAAGAAAUCCAAGGGCCUCUCUGCAGGCAGAGGAGGGAGCUGCACCUCUUUGACAUUAAGCCAGAGCAGCAGAGGUAUGCCAGGGCAUUUCUCCCAAAGGCAGCUUCCUCCUCCUGGAGUGGGUGUAGCUUUGGGAGACCCAGUUCCCCUGAAGCUAAGAGAGCUUCUCCCACUGCCACCACAAGGGGGCAGCCUCCCUUUACCAACUCAGGCUGGGUUUGCACUUGGCUUUCACAGCAAGGCACAGCCAGGCUCUUGCUGUUUGACUGUCUGGCUCCUGUCCUAGCCUUAACUAAUGUGCCCCCACUGGAAGUGAGUCUGUUACCCAUGGCAACAGGCUGUUUGUCUUUCGGCUUUCCCAGAGACAGGGGAACUGAUGGAUCUUAGUAUAUACUCUUUAUAGCUUUUACUAGCACUAGACAGAAUCAUCCCCUGGGUUUAUUGCCAAAGAACAUGCUGCCCGCAUGUUUCAGAGUUUCUGAAAAGGACGCAUCACUCUGGGAGGACAUGCUCUUCCCUCCAGCUGACACUGCAUCCCUCCUUGGUCACGCUUCUGCACAUGCUCGUCAUCGGACGGUUUGUAGAUCUCGCUCCAAGAGCUGCAGCCAAAUAGCCUCCCACAGACACAGUCAGUCACUGUGUCUGGGACCCCGCUUGCAAAGAGAGCUGUGCUGCGGGUGGAGGAAGGGGCCACUUCCUGCCCAGGUUUCCCUCGCUGGUGUCUACACAGGUAGAACCCACUUUGAGUUUGAGCCUGAGGUUUCCCAACAGUUUCCUAUAACAGGUUCCCCGUGAGGCACCAGGACCCAUAAUAAUGACCCCAGAGGAAAGCCUCUGAGAUCCUCUCACCUGGUCCCUCCCUGGCAUCCCACCACUGGCCUACCUUUCAGACACACCUGGUCCCUUACGUGGGGACGUGUAUGGCAGCCUGCAGCUCCUGUCUGCUCCCCUCAGGGUUGGCUUCUGUAGCAGAUGAUCUCAGAGAGCAAUGUUGAAGCAAGAUAUAAGUUUAGUUCAUGAAAAGCCGUCCAGAUGAGCACAUCCUGCCCCCUGGGCUGGUGUGGCAGAGACUUGGGCAGUGCUGCCCUGGGAGCACCCGGCUGCUCCCAUCUGUGCAGGGUGCCUUGUGGUGUGAGGGGUGUGCUGGAGUGCUGGCCAUCCAGGCUGCAUGUAGCCAGCAGGAAGGAUGUAGGGGCACCAGGAGGGUUCUAGCAGCAGAAACCGGUUCAGGAGGGGGACGCAGAUGUCAGUCUGUUGGGUUAUCUGCUGUGGAACUAGGAUCUGCACCCAGUUCCCCAUGACCUGGGUAGGGCUCCGUGGCAUCAGGCUGUGCUCUAUGCCCUGUUGAUGUCACAAUCCCAAGCUCAUGUCGCUUAAUUCUUUACUUCUUUCUACCUUAGCCACAGAUAGUCUUUUUCCCCCCUACAUGAACUCUGGAAGCAGUACAUCCGGGACCUGUGCGGUGGUCUCAAGCCAGACACGCAGCCGCACGUGAUCCAGACCAAGCUGUUGAAGGCGGAUCUUCACGGGGCUCUCGUUUCAGUCACGAAAUCCAAAUGCCCGUCCUAUGUGGGUGUUACAGGAAUCCUCCUACAGGAAACAGCACAUUUUCAAAAUCCUCACCGAAGAAGACCACCUGAAAGGGUGCAGACUCAAGUUUCUCUGUGAAUGGCUGUUCAUUAGUAGCCUUCUCUCCCCGCUUCCCCGAGGACACUUGACAAGAACGCUCAUCUGCCAUGACGCUGCCACUGUGCCCGCCUGUUUCCAGGAUGCCCUGUUGUCCCCACAGCCCACCUAGGGUCACUGGGUCCUAUGCCCUGAGGACUGUGCCCCUGAGGUCCCAGGCUAGGCAGGACACUGGCUCUCAGUGAGCGUCCUAAUGAGGCCACACCAGCUGCUCCCCAGAACCAGGCUGAGGCCUCCGGCGGUGGACCAGGGCUGGCCACGUCCCCACAGCUGUGGCACAGGGCCGGUUGUGGAGGGUGCUGUGGUAGCCUGCAGUCCGGGCUCCUACCUCCACUGCCUUGGGAGCAGAACCCCAGUAGAGCUGUGGCCUUGGAGGUGUAGGCCUGUGGGAGACAGCUACGUCAGCCUCACUUGUUGGUCUCACCCACUGGAGGAACCAGAGAGGCCCACGGAGCAGCAGAGUGGUGACCACCUGGGGACGGGACUCAGGAGCCGCAAGGCCAGGACACAUCAGCCCAGGCACCCACUGUUCUCCAAAAAAACGUACGCGUCAUGAACUCCAAGACUUGGCCUGGCUCGUCCACCCCUGCAACCCUUGUCCCUCAGUGCCCUCUAGAGCACUGCCCUCCACGUAGUAAGUGUUCCGUUAAAUACUUCUAGUCUGACAGCGAGCCGAGGGUGUGGCCCUAAUGGUGGCUAAGGGUGGCCACACCCAGCCAUGGUGACCCCCAUCUGGCCCCUACAGACGCCUUCCCCCACUGUGGCUUUCCACAGCAGAGCAGCACCGCGUCCUGUGACCCCCAGGCCACCCCAGCCUUUCAGGCAGGCAGGCGCCCCAGACAGCAGCAGUGCCUGGACACCAUGUGGGUCCUUCUCGCAUCCCAGCCAGGGCAAGGAGUCUCACUUUCUGAGUCAGACAAUGACCUACCGUUGGACAUGCUGGAUCUGGGCAGUAGACCAAGGAAAAGAGAAAACUGAAGACACCUGAGAGGGGAGGUUGGUCGCAGGAUAAAGAGCUGCGAUGGGAAAAGAUGAGGAAGAAAAGGAACAGCAGCGUCUGGCUGAGUGUCAGGGAGAAUCUGGAGGGCCAGGAGACGGAGUGGGGGAGAAAGGGAGUCUUGGGGAGCUGUCACUGUGUUAGGAGGCACAAGGAGUGGUGAUGGUGAGGAGGAGUUUUGAACCUUUGCUGGACCGUGAGAUCGUGCUUUCUCCUGUAACAUUUCUUCCAGCAUCUGAGCCUGGAUUUGGAAGUUCUCUGAAGUACUUUGUGACUGUGGUUCCAUGUUUCUGUGACUGCCACACGCACACACAAACGGAGCCACGUGGGACCCCACUUACCUUUGAGCUACACUAACGAGAUGAAGGCAAAAUUGGAAGACCUAGAGAUGGCAGGGUCAGACAGCAAUCCCUAGGACAAGCGUUAGGACCGUCCAUACAAGUCAUAUACGAGUGGGAAAUCAGAAGCAGCCGGAAAGAAGCCGAGGCCGACCCAGGGAAGAUAAGGGCUCCUUCGUACAUGUAAACAGCCAGGAGCAAGAACUUUGGGUCGGACAGCCCUGGAUGAGAGCGCCCGUUCUGCUUCUUUCUAGAGGAUGGCUUUGCAAAGUCCUGUAAUCUCUCUGAGCCUCCCUUUUCCCAGUGCAAAAUGAGAUGAAAUACGGGGCUGAUCAUGGGACUGUCCUCACUGGGAUGUUGCCAGGCUCGAGUGAACUAUCAGCCAGAGCACUUGGCACAUGGCCUAGAGCACAGAAAGGCCUAGAGGGGGCUCUGUGGUGUUACUAUUGUUAACGUAGAGCUGCCUGAGCCUUAAGAUGAUUCUGCUCAAAUACAUUUUUAAGGGGCCCCCAACUCAGACCUGCAAGUCAGAGGUCACGCAUGUGGGACUUGGAAGGCCAUAGGUCUGUUUGGGACUCCCCUGAGGAUGGAUGGACUUAGGAAGAGUCUUUGCCCCUUGGUGCUGUGCUCUGGUACCACAGUAGAGAAUAGGGAUGAAGAAGGCGGCUUUUAGAUGAAAAAUUCACUGUAUCUUUUCAUGCUAGAAAAAAGUAAGUUAAAACAACAGAAAUGAUUGCGCAUUAUUGGUGUGCCUAAAAGUUGUUUAGUAAACACGAGAAUGUGACGGGUGGAGUACUGAAUGCUAACAGCACUAAAAAUAGAAUUCAAGAUAAAAUGUUUUUUAAAAAAUUGUCUUAUUUUGAUAAAAUGAACAAUUCAUUAAAAAAUAUAAUAGACCAGAACUUUUAGAGAACAUCAACCAGAUAAUGAUAUGACAAUUCAAAACAGAAUGCUUUGAAUUUUGAUGGGUUAAGAAAAUUGAUAAAAUAAUUAAAUGUUUUUGCAAAACUUGACUCUUACGACCAAGAAAUAAGAGUCACACAUUACGCAAAGGAUAUCACAUUGAGCAAUCACACAUCGCGUACAAAACGUAUGCCUUCUCCAAACCAGCAUAACUCAAGCUUUGAUCAUCUAAGAAAGCCGGCAGUUGCAAGUGUAAUCCAUGCUUUGUUAAACUGAAGAUAAACACUUUGAUA
Molecule: RNA transcript, 4229 nt
Organism: Mustela erminea (ermine)
Lineage: Eukaryota; Metazoa; Chordata; Mammalia; Carnivora; Mustelidae
Gene name: ribonuclease P protein subunit p29-like
Exons: 6
Source: RefSeq, a predicted model, not a curated record